CAGUAGCCGCGGGAAUACGUAGGUCCCGAGCGUUGUCCGGAUUUAUUGGGCGUAAAGCGAGCGCAGGCGGUUAGAUAAGUCUGAAGUUAAAGGCUGUGGCUUAACCAUAGUACGCUUUGGAAACUGUUUAACUUGAGUGCAAGAGGGGAGAGUGGAAUUCCAUGUGUAGCGGUGAAAUGCGUAGAUAUAUGGAGGAACACCGGUGGCGAAGGCGGCUCUCUGGCUUGUAACUGACGCUGAGGCUCGAAAGCGAGGGGCGCAAACAGGAUUAGAUACCCGCGUAGUCCCUGUCUCUUAUACC
This 301-nucleotide ribosomal RNA is filed under the name uncultured bacterium. RNAcentral describes it as "partial 16S ribosomal RNA". It matches the Rfam family "Bacterial small subunit ribosomal RNA", at positions 509 to 808 of the family's 1533-position model. The record is from RNAcentral.